GUGCUCGCUUCGGCAGCACAUACACUAUAAUUGGUGGAACAAUGCAGAGAAGAUUAACAUGGCCCCUGCACGAGGAUGACACGCAAAUUCGAGAAGUGUUCAUUAACAAA
This is a small nuclear RNA of Mastomys coucha (southern multimammate mouse), 110 nucleotides long. The record is from RefSeq and is a predicted model, not a curated record. NCBI's taxonomy places the organism in Eukaryota, Metazoa, Chordata, Mammalia, Rodentia, Muridae.